UCCAUUCACACGAAAAAAGAGAAGCUCUUCAAAUACAUAUACGUGCACUCUUAUAUAAAGAUUCCUUUAUCUUUGAGAGUGAAAGAUCAAGGGACACCAUGUCUGCGAUGAAAGGUGGAGAUUGCGACAAAUGGCUUCAAGUUUCGAGGGAUAAAGAGAAGAGAAAUAUGGAAGGAGUAGAAAUAAAAGCUGAUGAGAAAUGCAAAUUCAAAGAAGCAGAGAGGGCUGAAAAGCUUUUCCAUCUCAUCUCUUGGGGUCCAAAUAAAUAAUAUAUUGUUGUCUCCUAAAUAAGAGAUUAAUCUCUCGGUUGUAUGCAUGGAACAUUCAAUUUAAUUAAAAAAAUUAUUUUAAAAUAUUAAAAAUUAUAUAUAUUUUAAAACAAAUAUUAAUAUGAAUUGAUCCUUCCAUAAUCCUUAGUUUUGGUGUGUUUUUAGCUCUAAGGUUAUAAGUAUGACCUAGGUCUUUUUUUU
This 470-nucleotide long non-coding RNA is filed under the name Lathyrus oleraceus (garden pea). RNAcentral's name for it is "Pisum sativum (pea) long non-coding RNA (PSAT_LNC022728)". The record is from RNAcentral. Lineage: Eukaryota; Viridiplantae; Streptophyta; Magnoliopsida; Fabales; Fabaceae.